Erinaceus europaeus (western European hedgehog) is the source of this 107-nucleotide small nuclear RNA. Lineage: Eukaryota; Metazoa; Chordata; Mammalia; Eulipotyphla; Erinaceidae. The record is from Ensembl.
GUGCUCGCUUUGGCAGCACAUAGAAUAAAAUUGGAGCAAUACAGAGAAGAUUAGCAUGGCCCUUGAGCAAGGAUGACACGCAAAUUUGUGUAGUGUUCCAUAUUUUU